Molecule: unclassified non-coding RNA, 280 nt
Filed under: Hevea brasiliensis (rubber tree)
Lineage: Eukaryota; Viridiplantae; Streptophyta; Magnoliopsida; Malpighiales; Euphorbiaceae
Source: RNAcentral
GGGGAUCACAUUUACACAACAAAUUACAUUUUCGAAUUUAUUUAAAGAAAAAAGUGAAAAUGGACAAAAGCCCAUGAGGGCACUACCAUGUGAAAAUAUGCAGGAAAGCAGGUUCACUGUAACCCUCUUGUACUAUUUGCUGAAACGUAUUCGUAACCACAGAUUCUUGAAAACCAUGAGAAAAUCAAGAAAAGGGUUCUUUAAUGGGGAAAGUUUUCUUACAAAAUGAAAAUGAGUUUUACUUCUUUUCCUCUUUCUUCUCUUCUUUCUUCUCUUCCUU